UUUUUACAAUGGAGAGUUUGAUCCUGGCUCAGGAUGAACGCUAGCGGCAGGCCUAACACAUGCAAGUCGAGGG
RNAcentral lists this ribosomal RNA (73 nucleotides) under Alistipes shahii. Its description in RNAcentral is "partial 16S ribosomal RNA". It matches the Rfam family "Bacterial small subunit ribosomal RNA", at positions 1 to 68 of the family's 1533-position model. Lineage: Bacteria; Pseudomonadati; Bacteroidota; Bacteroidia; Bacteroidales; Rikenellaceae. The record is from RNAcentral.